GAAUAUUGGACAAUGGGCGCAAGCCUGAUCCAGCCAUGCCGCGUGAGUGAUGAAGGCCCUAGGGUUGUAAAGCUCUUUCAGUGGGGACGAUAAUGACGGUACCCACAGAAGAAGCCCCGGCUAACUUCGUGCCAGCAGCCGCGGUAAUACGAAGGGGGCUAGCGUUGUUCGGAAUUACUGGGCGUAAAGCGCACGUAGGCGGAUAUUUAAGUCGGGGGUGAAAUCCCGGGGCUCAACCCCGGAACUGCCUUCGAUACUGGGUAUCUUGAGUGUGGUAGAGGUGAGUGGAAUUGCGAGUGUAGAGGUGAAAUUCGUAGAUAUUCGCAGGAACACCAGUGGCGAAGGCGGCUCACUGGACCACAACUGACGCUGAGGUGCGAAAGCGUGGGGAGCAAACAGG
Molecule: ribosomal RNA, 400 nt
Filed under: uncultured bacterium
Lineage: Bacteria
Description: bacterial SSU rRNA
Rfam family: Bacterial small subunit ribosomal RNA
Source: RNAcentral